AUGAGGUUAAGCCUCAACUGCUAUGAGAGAAGGAAGCAGAGUGGGGAGGACGGGGUGGAGGAGCAGGGCCCGGAGCCUGGGAGGGAAACUGACAAGGCAGUUCCCUCAGGUUCAGCGGGCAAAGAUUAUGCCCAUGGAACCAGACUUCAGGGAUCAGGAACCACAGCCGGGAACCUGGAAAACAGAGGCGCCGAGGUUCAGAAAGGGGGCUGCCGAAGCCCUGGUCAGGAACCCCAGCAGGCCCGGGGUGCAGGCAGCCCAAGGGAAGAACAGGCCUUUUCAGCGUCACCCCCUCUUACCAGACCAGCUGACCGAAGAGACACAGGAGCGAGCUCUAAGUAUCGAUCCCAGAUUCGUCUCCCGAGGCCCUUCCAAUGCGCUUACCUACCUGGAGCCUCUCGCUGGGACAGGCACAAAGAACAGGACCUAAGAAUUCCAUUUCUAAGAGUGAGUAUAGUAAGCAGGGGUAGAAAAAUAUAUGCACAUCACCUUGAGUGGAACCCGGUAGGGCUUGGUGUGAGGCCCAUCUUACAAGGUUCUAGUGAAAUAAAAAAACAUGACAACAUAGGACAGAAUGGGCUUUAAGUUCAGCGCAUUGAAUUAAGUGGGCUGAUUACUGUUCAGUGAGAGAAUGGGUAAUAUGGAGGAAGAGGAGGAAGGGGGGAAGGAGAAGGAGAUGGAGAGAAUAUUGUAGCCGCAGAAGACUAUAUCCUGAACCUUAAGGCACUAAAACCCACACGCUUCCCAAAGGGAGUCUCUCCAUGUCACUCACUACCUAGACAUCGGUAUCAUUUCUUCACUGCGUGUGCCGUCAUCAGAGGCGCUCCCAAUGAUGUCAGCUGCUCCUCUUGGCACGUAACCUUUGGCAGAAAUAGCACGCAUUUGCUCCUGCCCGACUCCGGGUAGCAAGUCCACCUAGAUAAAGCCCUCCCCUCAAGGCCGUCUCCCCACCGAUGACCUCUGGGGCACUCAGGCUCAGCUUUCCUGCUUUGAGAACUUCCUAGUUAAGUCCCCCUUAUCACUGGGAAAACCUGACCUCUAACAUGCAAAGCGGGUCAUGGAGCAGGGAGAACGGAACCCUCUGACUUUAAAGUCAACUUGGCUUUGCUUACCUUUGAAAUAGAGCACUUGUAUUUUGAAACUGUUUAUGAGAAGUUCUCUGAGUACUGAACUGCAAACGCAGAUACCAAGAAAUUCUGGGGCCAGAGUGUCCAAAUAACUGGGAUAAGGACAAUUGAGUUGAACAGUAAUAAAAUCUGGCACUGAUUGUUUAGGCUUUUGAAU
Molecule: long non-coding RNA, 1284 nt
Filed under: Felis catus (domestic cat)
Lineage: Eukaryota; Metazoa; Chordata; Mammalia; Carnivora; Felidae
Description: lncRNA (ENSFCAG00000041265.2)
Source: RNAcentral